CUAAAGUAGUAGUAGUUAUGUUCUUGAAACUUAAAAAAUUUGGCGGUAUUUUAGUCUAUUCAGAGGAACCUGUCCUAUAAUCGAUAAUCCACGUUGGACCUAACUUAAAUUUGUUUAUCAGUUUGUAUACCGUCGUUAUAAGAAUAUUUUAUUAGAAUAAUAAUUUUCUAGAAUUUUUAUAAAAAUUUAUAUCAGAUCAAGGUGCAGCUUAUGUUUAAGUAGAGAUGGGUUACAAUAAAUAUAUUUAUACGAAUUAGUUUUUGAAAAAAAAUUAUAAAGGUGGAUUUGAAUGUAAAAUUAUAAAGAUAAAUAAUUUGAUUUUAGCU
RNAcentral lists this ribosomal RNA (326 nucleotides) under Sepsis violacea. RNAcentral's name for it is "partial 12S ribosomal RNA". Lineage: Eukaryota; Metazoa; Arthropoda; Insecta; Diptera; Sepsidae. The record is from RNAcentral.